This 631-nucleotide long non-coding RNA is filed under the name Homo sapiens (human). Its description in RNAcentral is "non-protein coding TPT1-AS1:43". The record is from RNAcentral. Lineage: Eukaryota; Metazoa; Chordata; Mammalia; Primates; Hominidae.
UCAAACUCUUCAGGAUGCAGAAAGGCAGUGAACUCCUCCGGAGUAGCUGUCAGGUCACCAUUGAGGUCUGCAGCUUUGAAUCUUCUCUCAUCACGUGGCAGCAUCUUUUUAAAGGUUUUCAGCUCCUCAGUAGUGACAAAGCCAUACCCAUCAUUGUCGAUUCGAUCAACAAUCUUCCCUAGCCUCUCCUUGCUCUCGUCCGGGGUGAGCUCGUCGAAGUUCUUGGAGUCCUCCUUGCCCAGGAAGGCCUCGUGGUCGUACUGGAAGCUCUGGUUGUCCUCAGGGGGCCGCUCGCCCAGCUCCGAGUCGGGCCGCACCACGCGCUCUUUGCGCACCGUGGGCUUGGCCCGCAGAACCCGCGGCGCCAGCACCAGCGCCAGCAGCAGCCCCAGGGCUAACCCCAGGCGGCCACCGCGCGCCAUCGUCCCGAGGAGAGGGCGGCCGGGAGGGAGACGCUGAGCGAGCGACAACAGCGGCAGCUCGGGAAUGGGGGCUCGGAGCGCGGCGGCCAAGUUUUAUGUUAUGUAUAUUUUACAAGUAAAAAAAUUUUUUCACCUCAGCCUGAACUGAACACUAGCUGACAGACGUUUUGAUUUCUUUGACCAUCACGGAAUCGUGGCCAAGCGCGGUG